This 334-nucleotide long non-coding RNA is filed under the name Solanum tuberosum (potato). RNAcentral describes it as "long non-coding RNA (STUB_LNC003757)". The record is from RNAcentral. Lineage: Eukaryota; Viridiplantae; Streptophyta; Magnoliopsida; Solanales; Solanaceae.
CCUGUUCGCAAAAGAAGUUAGGAAAAUUAUAAGUAACAGAAGAAACCCAUCAUGAAUGAGUAAAAUCUUACUUCUUUCUACAAACUGCGUGUGCGACUUCGAAUUCUGAAAUUGAUAAUCUUCUCCUGAGUUUCUUAACCUCUUUGCCAUAAUGCUAGACAAACACAACAAUGAAAAUUCAUCAAAACCAGCAAAAUCGCAUCCAGAUCAAAAAAUAGGAUAAAAAUUAAUUAAUUUCAUAGAAAGAGCAAUAAUCAAAUAUCGAAUUGAAGAAAAAUAACCUAAACUAUUUUCUGAUAUGACAAAAACCUCGAAUUCAUCACAAUAGGGAAUG